UGAACGCUAGCUACAGGCUUAACACAUGCAAGUCGAGGGGCAGCAUGGUCUUAGCUUGCUAAGGCCGAUGGCGACCGGCGCACGGGUGAGUAACACGUAUCCAACCUGCCGUCUACUCUUGGACAGCCUUCUGAAAGGAAGAUUAAUACAAGAUGGCAUCAUGAGUCCGCAUGUUCACAUGAUUAAAGGUAUUCCGGUAGACGAUGGGGAUGCGUUCCAUUAGAUAGUAGGCGGGGUAACGGCCCACCUAGUCUUCGAUGGAUAGGGGUUCUGAGAGGAAGGUCCCCCACAUUGGAACUGAGACACGGUCCAAACUCCUACGGGAGGCAGCAGUGAGGAAUAUUGGUCAAUGGGCGAGAGCCUGAACCAGCCAAGUAGCGUGAAGGAUGACUGCCCUAUGGGUUGUAAACUUCUUUUAUAAAGGAAUAAAGUCGGGUAUGGAUACCCGUUUGCAUGUACUUUAUGAAUAAGGAUCGGCUAACUCCGUGCCAGCAGCCGCGGUAAUACGGAGGAUCCGAGCGUUAUCCGGAUUUAUUGGGUUUAAAGGGAGCGUAGAUGGAUGUUUAAGUCAGUUGUGAAAGUUUGCGGCUCAACCGUAAAAUUGCAGUUGAUACUGGAUAUCUUGAGUGCAGUUGAGGCAGGCGGAAUUCGUGGUGUAGCGGUGAAAUGCUUAGAUAUCACGAAGAACUCCGAUUGCGAAGGCAGCCUGCUAAGCUGCAACUGACAUUGAGGCUCGAAAGUGUGGGUAUCAAACAGGAUUAGAUACCCUGGUAGUCCACACGGUAAACGAUGAAUACUCGCUGUUUGCGAUAUACUGCAAGCGGCCAAGCGAAAGCGUUAAGUAUUCCACCUGGGGAGUACGCCGGCAACGGUGAAACUCAAAGGAAUUGACGGGGGCCCGCACAAGCGGAGGAACAUGUGGUUUAAUUCGAUGAUACGCGAGGAACCUUACCCGGGCUUAAAUUGCAGAUGAAUUACGGUGAAAGCCGUAAGCCGCAAGGCAUCUGUGAAGGUGCUGCAUGGUUGUCGUCAGCUCGUGCCGUGAGGUGUCGGCUUAAGUGCCAUAACGAGCGCAACCCUUGUUGUCAGUUACUAACAGGUUCCGCUGAGGACUCUGACAAGACUGCCAUCGUAAGAUGUGAGGAAGGUGGGGAUGACGUCAAAUCAGCACGGCCCUUACGUCCGGGGCUACACACGUGUUACAAUGGGGGGUACAGAGGGCCGCUACCACGCGAGUGGAUGCCAAUCCCAAAAACCUCUCUCAGUUCGGACUGGAGUCUGCAACCCGACUCCACGAAGCUGGAUUCGCUAGUAAUCGCGCAUCAGCCACGGCGCGGUGAAUACGUUCCCGGGCCUUGUACACACCGCCCGUCAAGCCAUGGGAGCCGGGGGUACCUGAAGUGCGUAACCGCGAGGAGCGCCCUAGGGUAAAACUGGUGAUUGGGGUGAA
Molecule: ribosomal RNA, 1450 nt
Filed under: uncultured organism
Description: SSU rRNA
Rfam family: Bacterial small subunit ribosomal RNA
Source: RNAcentral